Bacteroides sp. CAG:1060 is the source of this 73-nucleotide non-coding RNA. The record is from Rfam. Lineage: Bacteria; Pseudomonadati; Bacteroidota; Bacteroidia; Bacteroidales; Bacteroidaceae.
GCGGAAAUAGCUCAGUUGGUAGAGCGCAACCUUGCCAAGGUUGAGGUCGCGGGUCCGAGCCCCGUUUUCCGCU